RNAcentral lists this transfer RNA (65 nucleotides) under Rugitermes sp. A TB-2014. Its description in RNAcentral is "tRNA-Leu". The record is from RNAcentral. Lineage: Eukaryota; Metazoa; Arthropoda; Insecta; Blattodea; Kalotermitidae. RNAcentral also lists the same sequence under 1 other name.
ACUAUUUUGGCAGAUAAGUGCGGUGGAUUUAGAAUCUAUUUAUGUGGUUUUUAACGCAGAUGGUA